RNAcentral lists this ribosomal RNA (497 nucleotides) under uncultured bacterium. RNAcentral's name for it is "partial 16S ribosomal RNA". It matches the Rfam family "Bacterial small subunit ribosomal RNA", at positions 28 to 507 of the family's 1533-position model. The record is from RNAcentral.
GAUGAACGCUGGCGGCGUGCCUAAUACAUGCGAGUCGAGCGAACGGACGAGAAGCUUGCUUCUCUGAUGUUAGCGGCGGACGGGUGAGUAACACGUGGAUAACCUACCUAUAAGACUGGGAUAACUUCGGGAAACCGGAGCUAAUACCGGAUAAUAUUUUGAACCGCAUGGUUCAAAAGUGAAAGACGGUCUUGCUGUCACUUAUAGAUGGAUCCGCGCUGCAUUAGCUAGUUGGUAAGGUAACGGCUUACCAAGGCAACGAUGCAUAGCCGACCUGAGAGGGUGAUCGGCCACAUUGGAACUGAGACACGGUCCAGACGCCUACGGGAGGCAGCAGUAGGGAAUCUUCCGCAAUGGGCGAAAGCCUGACGGAGCGACGCCGCGUGAGUGAUGAAGGUCUUCGGAUCGUAAAACUCUGUUAUUAGGGAAGAACAUAUGUGUAAGGAACUGUGCACAUCGUGACGGUACCUAAUCAGAAAGCCACGGCUAACUACGUG